This 83-nucleotide transfer RNA is filed under the name Canis lupus familiaris (dog). It matches the Rfam family "tRNA". From Rfam's summary of the family: Transfer RNA (tRNA) molecules are approximately 80 nucleotides in length. Their secondary structure includes four short double-helical elements and three loops (D, anti-codon, and T loops). Further hydrogen bonds mediate the characteristic L-shaped molecular structure. tRNAs have two regions of fundamental functional importance: the anti-codon, which is responsible for specific mRNA codon recognition, and the 3' end, to which the tRNAs corresponding amino acid is attached (by aminoacyl-tRNA synthetases). tRNAs cope with the degeneracy of the genetic code in two manners: having more than one tRNA (with a specific anti-codon) for a particular amino acid; and 'wobble' base-pairing, i.e. permitting non-standard base-pairing at the 3rd anti-codon position. The record is from Rfam by way of RNAcentral. RNAcentral also lists the same sequence under 2 other names. Lineage: Eukaryota; Metazoa; Chordata; Mammalia; Carnivora; Canidae.
ACCUGGGUGGCUCAGUGGUUGAGCAUCUGCCUUUGGCUCAGGACAUGAUCCCAGAGUCCUGGGAUCAAGUCCCACAUCAGGUU